Condylostylus longicornis is the source of this 3100-nucleotide long non-coding RNA. RefSeq lists it as uncharacterized. Lineage: Eukaryota; Metazoa; Arthropoda; Insecta; Diptera; Dolichopodidae. The record is from RefSeq and is a predicted model, not a curated record. The transcript is spliced from 3 exons.
GUUUGAAAUGUACAAGUUUAUAUUGGCAAUUCACUUUCAUAUUAUAUUUAAAAUUAAUUUACUUAUGUUUGAAUUGAUUUAUUGAUUGUGAAUUAUCUGAAUUAUGUAAACAUAAAACAACAUGUGAACGACAGGUAGCAGUUGUAUUAUUAAUAAAAUAUUAUAAAAUAUUAAAACCGGUUUGUUGCUAUUCUAUAACUUUAACAGGUUAUGGGCCCAGACUCAUGUUUUUUCUUAAAGGUUAAAUUGAAUAUAAUCAAAAUGAAUAUUACAAGUAAUUGUGUGGAGAAGUUGAAUAAUGAUAAUUAUGAAUCGUGGAGGUUACAAACCAGGAGUGUACUUGUAUUUAACGAUCUAUAGGAAUAUGUAAAUGGAGAUAUUAAGUGUCCUACUGCUGAAGAAAAUUAUGGAAAUCAAAAGACGCAAAGGCUUUAGCAUUGAUGUUACUUUCAUUAAAAGAGAAUCAACUGCAACAUGCCAAAAAGGACUACAACUUCGAAUGAAGCAUGGAAUAUUCUGGCAAAAUUGUAUAUUUCCGGUGGACCUGCAAAGAAGGUGAUGAUAUAUAAAAAAAAUCUGAUGUGGUCAGCACAUAACCGACCGCAUUGUGUAUUGUCUAGUUAAAUGAAAGUGUUACAGAUAAUAUUCUGACUGUCUGUUAAAUACUUCUUUCCAAUUUUUAGGACAUUAGUAAGCUUAUAGUUAACAUACCUAGAAAAAUGUAAAUUUGGCUCUUAGUAGAGUUUCGCUUUGUGCUACCCGAAUUCCCUGAAAUGCUAGCUAGUUAGUUUCGGUAACAAGUAGAACUCAAAUAUCAAAUUUCAAGAAAUUCCAUCAAUUCGUUCUGUAGAUAUGGUGAAAAAUGUAAAAUCGGCCCGCAGAUCAGUUUUUGAGCUCUGAUCUUUCCAGAAAAUUUACAUGUUCACUGUUUUAAUACGAGGAAUUCAAAUACUAAAUUUCACUGAAAUCGGUUGAUUAUUUCCCUUUAAAUACACAAAAAUGUAUAUUUGUCCCGUAGUAAACGUCUAGUUGCCGAUGCCUGAUUUCUUCCAAAACAUAGAAGUUUUUGCGGACGGUCGAGCUGAAAUUAUAUAUAAAAUUUCAAGUAAAUCGGUUGAAUAUUUUCUUCAAAAUGUUCAAAAAUGUAAAACAGGCCCGCUAAAAAGUGCAGUUCCCGAGGCCUGAUAUAUAAAAAAAGUUGAUCAAUCCGUGCCAUGGUGGAAAUAAACUUACAUAUAAAAUUUCAUCAAAAUCGGUUCAGCAGAACUUGAGAUACACGCGUUCACAUACAGACCGACAGACCGACAAACCGACAGACCGACAGGUUGCUAAAAAUAGUUUAUUUACACUUUCCUACUAUGGAGAAGUACGUUCCCACCGAAAACUCGAUAUGCAAAAUUUGUUGCCAUCACAUAAACUACCUAUUGUUUACACAAUACGGUCGGUAAUUAUUUAUUUGAAGAAAAAUUAGGAUCAAAGUAUGACAGAGCACAUAGCACAUUUCUUGAAUUUAUUUGGCGUUAUAUUACCAAAAGAUUUAGUUUCAAUUAUGUUAUUAAAUUCAUUACCGGAUGAUUUUGAAAACUUUAUUGUUGCGAUGGAAAACAGAGAUGAACUUACUUCCUGAACCAAAUGUGUUGAAAAUUAAAUUAUUAGAGGAAGAAAAUAGGAGACAAAAUUCUGUUAAUGUAAAAGAUACGUAACUUUAAGCAAAAUAUUUUCUUAUCCAAAAAUGCAACAAAAGGAACAUCUUAUUUUUGCGGCAAACGAGUACACAAAUCAAGUGAUUGCUAUCAAAAAAAAAAAAACAAGAUUGAAAGAAUGAUGAUACGACAAAAACAAACGCUGUAAUGAUUACUGUAUUGUGUGCUAAAAAUAAUCAAAUUUAUUCGAAUUCACAUCAAUGUUAUUUAGACAGCGGUGCAACUGCUCAUAUGUGUAAAGAAAAGAAUUAUUUACAAGUUGGGCUUCAAAAUCGAUUUCAAUGAUAGUUUGGGUAGGUCAAUUAAUUUGAGUCUGUCCUCGUAAGGUGGAAGAAUGAUGGGGUUUUCCCAAGAAAGAAGGCGCAGUGCAAACCUCAAAAAAUUUUUUUGAAUAGACUCAAUUCUAUUAAUAUGUAUAUCGUAAUAGGGUGACCAUACUUGUGAAGCAUAUUCAAGAUGGGGACGGACCAGGCCUGUGUAAAGUGAUUUUAAGAUCAGCACUCCUUUGACCAGCGUUUAAUGAAUCCUAACAUCAAGCUUGAUCUGCAUAUGAUAUGAUUAUAGUGGUUUAUAAAUGAUAACUUGCUAUCGAAGCAAACACCCAGGUCCAUUAUUGAAUCAACUCGACUAAGCGCUUGGUCAUUCAAAGUAUAGUUUGUAAAAAAUGGCCGUUUUUGCCUAGAGUACCACAUUUGUGCACAUUUACUUACAUUGAUUUUUAGGUUGUUACUUGAGCACCAGCCGUAGAAGCUGUUAAGAUCAUUCUAAGACACAACGCCUGAUUUGUAGAGCUUAUUUUUUUAAAAAUUUUCAUAUCAUCAGCAUAUAUUAAUACCUCACUGUGCGUUAGCAUGGAAACAACAUUAUUAAUUGAAAUAAUGAGCAGCAAUGGACCUAAGUGACUACCCUGGGGUACACCAGAAUGGUCCGUUAAGUACCAAAUUAAGUUUAUGGUCCGCUAAGUACCAAAUGUAUUGGGGCACACAAUAUUUUGUAACUUUUAUAGACAGCAAGUCAAGAUUUGUUCACGUAGGCUUUUUAAAAAAUAAAAGCGAUGUUUUUGAAGCGUUUAAAAGAAAUCCAACGUAUGUAGAACGAGAAACCGGGAGAAAAAUAAAAUGCCUAAGAACUGAUAACGGACGCGAAUAUUUGUCAAAACAGUUUAGUGAAUACUUAGAACAAAAUGGAAUUAAACGAGAACUUUCAGUACCCUAUACUUCUCAGCAGAAUCGUAUAGCUAAGCGAGCAAAUCGCACUUUAAUAGAGAUGGCGCGUUGUAUGUCAUUAGAUUAGGAUUUUCUAUAUCAGUGAUGAGCAACCUUUUUUCGAAUUGGGCUAAAUGAGAAAAAGCAAUCGUUCCCGGGCCGCAAUUAUAGCAGAUUUAUUUUCUAGUAAUA